GGGUCAGUAGGUUGGUCGUGCCACCGGUACGUACUGGUCUCACUGAUUCCUCCUUCCUGAAGAACCGUAAUGCCAUUAAUUUGGUGUUGCGGGGAAACAGGACUGCUACUUCGAAAAGAUUAGAGUGUUUAAAGCAAGCUAACGCUUGAAUACAUUAGCAUGGAAUAAUGAAAUAGGACGAUCGAUCCUAUUUUGUUGGUUUCUAGGAUUGACGUA
RNAcentral lists this ribosomal RNA (216 nucleotides) under Glomeromycotina sp. Its description in RNAcentral is "partial small subunit ribosomal RNA". Lineage: Eukaryota; Fungi; Glomeromycota. The record is from RNAcentral.